AGGACGAACGCUGGCGGUGUGCUUCACACAUGCAAGUCGAACGAGGUAGCAAUACCUAGUGGCGGACGGGUGAGUAACGCGUGGGAAUCUGCCUUUAGAUGGGGGAUAACGGGUCGAAAGACUCGCUAAUACCGCAUAUGACGAAAGUUGAAAGGAGUAAUCCGUCUAAAGAUGAGCCCGCGUCCGAUUAGCUAGUUGGUAGAGUAAAAGCCUACCAAGGCGACGAUCGGUAGCUGGUCUGAGAGGAUGAUCAGCCACAAUGGGACUGAGACACGGCCCAUACUCCUACGGGAGGCAGCAGUGGGGAAUUUUACGCAAUGGGCGAAAGCCUGACGUAGCGACACCGCGUGAGCGAAGAAGCCCCUUGGGGUGUAAAGCUCUGUCAGCUGGAACGAAAAAAAUGACGGUACCAGCAGAGGAAGCAUCGGCUAACUACGUG
Molecule: ribosomal RNA, 439 nt
Filed under: uncultured bacterium
Lineage: Bacteria
Description: bacterial SSU rRNA
Rfam family: Bacterial small subunit ribosomal RNA
Source: RNAcentral